GCCGCCACAUCCCAUCGGUCACCAUCGACAUCUUUUUCUCCAUCGACUUCUUCCCUGCUCUCAUCGUUGCCACCUCCUGCCGGUCUCCGCUGCCACUUUCCUCCCGAUCCUCACCGGCAUCGGGUCCCCCCUAAAUCUCUCACAGGUGCUUUCCUUCCCCUAGAUCUCCAUUUCUUUUCUUUCUUUUUUUUAUUUUGCUUCGAACCCUUACAGAGGCUUUUGGAAAAUGGAAGUGAUGAGGGGAGUUGG
Molecule: long non-coding RNA, 249 nt
Filed under: Elaeis guineensis (African oil palm)
Lineage: Eukaryota; Viridiplantae; Streptophyta; Magnoliopsida; Arecales; Arecaceae
Description: long non-coding RNA (EGUI_LNC073349)
Source: RNAcentral